Vombatus ursinus (common wombat) is the source of this 1353-nucleotide long non-coding RNA. RefSeq lists it as uncharacterized. The transcript has 4 exons. NCBI's taxonomy places the organism in Eukaryota, Metazoa, Chordata, Mammalia, Diprotodontia, Vombatidae. The record is from RefSeq and is a predicted model, not a curated record.
GGACUAGAUCUGUGAUUUCAUUGGUAGAAAAAACUUCCAGUGAGAAAACUCUUAUCUUUCCCAGGGAGGAAAUCCCCUCAAAAGAUCAACACCUGCACAACUUAUAGUCUAGGAUAGUUGCUGGGUCACUGAGAAUUGAAAUGAUUUAGCCAUGGUCAGGCAUCCACUAUGUUAUCAGAGGAAGACCUACUGACUUUAAGGAUAGUUUUUUCUUGUACAAUAUUGCUUCUUCAUUCCCUCUCCUUCCACUAUGAAUGAAUAUUUGCUUUCUGGUUUGUAAGUCUGUGUCUCCUGAGUUUUCUUUGUCUCAAACCAUUUCUGCUUGAACUUAUAGGAUAGACUUUCUGAACAUGCCAUGCCAAAUACAGGAACCUAGCACAGAGGCAGAAGUUGAGAACCCUAAUCACUUGGAUGAGAUGAAAGACCAGAACCUUCUUUUGGUGGAUUUACCUCCAGGACAUCAAGAACACAAGCAAGUAAAAGACAAGUUUUGUCAGACCUAUGCUAACUUCACAAUAAAGAAGGCAUCAAGAUCUGCUUUGCUGAAGUAUGUUGCCCAGCAAGCAUCAAACUCUUCAUUUGUCUCAUGGGACCCAUGGGAAUAGCAGCAAACUGACUGGAUAGUGAUGGCAGCACUAGAGGAAGAGGAUGACGAGGAGGAGGGGGCUGCAGUCCCUAGCUUCGGUAGCAGGACCUAUACCGAGGCUCCAGACCAUCAACUUCUAACUGACUGCUCAGGCUGCAUUCCCACCUCCAACCCAGUCAAAGAUUUUUAGCCCACUGGACCUGGCAUCAGUCAGGUUCCAAAGUCUGAUGCCUUGAACAUGAUCCAGUGAGGGAGGGACAGCUCUAUGGCCCUUAUCAGCAGGAAGCAAUUUCAGAAGCUGAGGCUUUUGCCCCUUACCCCAAAAGAUUCUGGGUCCCAUUUGUUUGAAAGGGGAAUGAUGGGGUGAUGAGACCUGGACCUAAAAAAAGACCAUGUCUUUGAAAGCAACUUAGUUGCUGAAUUUUCCCACAGAUUUCAGCAUCUGAGAUCACUGGCCUCAUCCUUGAGGCAUCUGACCCAGCCCAGCCCAGACCAGACCAUCUAAAUACUCAACAGUCCUUUCACAGUAUCUCUUGGCCCACCAGGAACCACUCAAUACUCCUUUCACAGUCCUUUGGACCCACCCCAGACCUCUUAAGUUUUUUCACUCAUACCUCACCCUCCCCAGGCUAUUUACUACUCCUUAAUCCCAUCCAGAUCUUUUUACUGUUCUUUUUUUUUAAUAUAUAAAUAUCAAUCUCACCCCUAUCAAGGCAUAGAUUCAAUAUGAAUCUCACCUGAACUAUUGAUUUUACAAUAAAUCUUGC